RNAcentral lists this ribosomal RNA (546 nucleotides) under Triticum aestivum (bread wheat). RNAcentral's name for it is "partial small subunit ribosomal RNA". Lineage: Eukaryota; Viridiplantae; Streptophyta; Magnoliopsida; Poales; Poaceae. The record is from RNAcentral.
AUGGCUGCUCUCAAGCACUUUCAAGGGCUGAAUUCUCAAAAUUUAUUCUUGCUCAAUAGUGCAGUGAUUGCUCUGCUGCCCAAACAUCAAGGUGUUGUCAGACCUCGGGACUUUAGGCCCAUUAGCCUUAUUCACUUCUUUGCUAAAUUGGUUGCCAAAAUCCUUGCUGCAAGACUUCAUCCUUGGUAGAACAAAUUGGCUUCCCCUUGUCAAAAUGACUUUAUUAAAGGAAGAAGCAUACAUGAUAACUUUGUAUAUGUCGAGGCAAUUGCAAAGACUUUGAGGCAGAAGAAAAUACCAUCGGUUAUGCUCAAGUUGGAUAUUUCCAAGGCCUUUGAUUCUGUCUCUUGGGAGUUUCUGUUAAAGCUUUGCAAGUUUUGGGCUUUGGGCCAAAAUGGAGAGGAUGGAUCUCAUUCCUGUUUUACUCUGCCUCAACCAGAAUUCUUGCAUACUCUAAUACCACCCAGAAAAUUCUCCAUCGAAAAGGCCUACGGCAAGGAGAUCCCCUCUCCCCUUUACUCAUUGUGCUUGUGGUGGGCAGAUUAG